GUGGCAGAGCCUGGCUAUGCAAAAGACCUAAGCCCUUUUAAGCAGGGGUUCAAAUCCCCUCGCUAACU
This 68-nucleotide transfer RNA is filed under the name Alytes obstetricans (midwife toad). RNAcentral describes it as "tRNA-Leu". It matches the Rfam family "tRNA". From Rfam's summary of the family: Transfer RNA (tRNA) molecules are approximately 80 nucleotides in length. Their secondary structure includes four short double-helical elements and three loops (D, anti-codon, and T loops). Lineage: Eukaryota; Metazoa; Chordata; Amphibia; Anura; Alytidae. The record is from RNAcentral.